RNAcentral lists this ribosomal RNA (253 nucleotides) under uncultured bacterium. RNAcentral describes it as "partial 16S ribosomal RNA". It matches the Rfam family "Bacterial small subunit ribosomal RNA", at positions 524 to 776 of the family's 1533-position model. The record is from RNAcentral.
UACGAAGGGGGCUAGCGUUGUUCGGAAUUACUGGGCGUAAAGCGCACGUAGGCGGAUACUUAAGUUAGGGGUGAAAUCCCAGAGCUCAACUCUGGAACUGCCUCUAAUACUGGGUAUCUCGAGUCCGGAAGAGGUGAGUGGAAUUCCGAGUGUAGAGGUGAAAUUCGUAGAUAUUCGGAGGAACACCAGUGGCGAAGGCGGCUCACUGGUCCGGUACUGACGCUGAGGUGCGAAAGCGUGGGGAGCGAACAGG